GACGAACGCUGGCGGCGUGCUUAACACAUGCAAGUCGAACGGAAAGGCCCUGCUUUUGUGGGGUGCUCGAGUGGCGAACGGGUGAGUAACACGUGAGUAACCUGCCCUUGACUUUGGGAUAACUUCAGGAAACUGGGGCUAAUACCGGAUAGGAGCUCCUGCUGCAUGGUGGGGGUUGGAAAGUUUCGGCGGUUUGGGAUGGACUCGCGGCUUAUCAGCUUGUUGGUGGGGUAGUGGCUUACCAAGGCUUUGACGGGUAGCCGGCCUGAGAGGGUGACCGGCCACAUGGGGACUGAGAUACGGCCCAGACUGCUACGGGAGGCAGCAGUGGGGAAUAUUGCACAAUGGGCGGAAGCCUGAUGCAGCAACGCCGCGUGCGGGAUGACGGCCUUCGGGUUGUAAACCGCUUUCGCCUGUGACGAAGCGUGAGUGACGGUAAUGGGUAAAGAAGCACCGGCUAACUACGUG
This 468-nucleotide ribosomal RNA is filed under the name uncultured bacterium. Its description in RNAcentral is "partial 16S ribosomal RNA". It matches the Rfam family "Bacterial small subunit ribosomal RNA", at positions 28 to 507 of the family's 1533-position model. The record is from RNAcentral.